Long non-coding RNA from Canis lupus familiaris (dog), 1926 nucleotides. RefSeq lists it as uncharacterized. The transcript has 3 exons. The record is from RefSeq and is a predicted model, not a curated record. Lineage: Eukaryota; Metazoa; Chordata; Mammalia; Carnivora; Canidae.
GUUUUUAAGCAUAAAGCUGAAAUAAACAGGAGGAGCUGAUUCUCGGAGCCCCUUCUGCGUCCAGGCCGGUCACACUCGCUCCAAAUAGGAUUCUAUUCCCAGGACUAACGUGCUGGCGGCACCCAGAGUGCUUGUCACCCUCCGUCUGGCAAUGCAGUGACUGUCACACGAAGACUCUUCUGGUUCGAGCCGUGUUUCUGACUGGGCGACCUGUAGGAGGAGGACUGGCCUGCUCUCUGCCUCCCGCCCCAAGGCAGCGCCGAGCUUGGGCCCAGGAGGUCAAGCAUCGAGGGUAGAAGCAGGGACACCUACGCUGCGCCUUUCCCUUGCCCACUCCGGCAACUGACAGCCCGCCUGGCUCACAUUCUGGGGAGGGACUGAAUUGCCAGAGCCUGUAGAUGCGUUUUGAGUAGAACAGGCCAGAUAGGAAGGAAGGACAGAUGACUAGCAGGAAAUGAACCAGGAAAGGCAAGAAGAAAUCAAAGCAUCUACUCAAAAAGUAUGACCUGAGAACAUUGCAUCAGCAUUUUGACUAUGAGGGAUGGGAAAGGCCAGCGGAUUUGAGAAAAAGUGAAGAAAGCAGGGACAUCCCACCCAACUAGGAGCUCCUUAAGGAAUCGCGCCACAGCCAUGUCUUUGCACCCUCCAUGGUGCUUUGCAUGAAUUGGUGCUCGAGAACAUAGAGAUGGAAUUGGACAGAAAUAAAAGCUGCAUUUUCCUGUCCAGAUAUUUACGACAUGGUGGGGAAGCACUAGGAGAUAAGACCGGUUUUUCUUCCCAACUCUUCCACACACUGACUGUGGCCUUGGGAGAAUGUUCUCACCUCUCUGGGGCUCAGGACCACAUCUGUGAAAUAAGGGGUGCAGCAGGAUGAUCUCCACCUUAUUCUAGUGAUGAGAUUUGAGAGCCCUGUAAGGUUUGGGGUUGACAUGACAAUAUUGCAACUGGUUUGCAAAUGAGCCCCAGAGAUUGAGAGCCUCAUUUGUAAACUAACAAACUGCUACAGAACUCAGGACUCUUCACUUAUUGGGUUGAGGCUGUUCUUUUCCUAUUGUCCCAUGGCCCUGUGACAGCAAACCAUAUCUCAGACUCAGAGGCUGGGCACCAAAAAGUUGAUUCUCGUGAGACCCCGAAGAUGGAAGUCUCUCGAGGCAUCCAGAUGCACAGAUCUCACCAACAUCUGCUAGACACUCAAAGGAAACAGUGGGUGACAAAAACAACGACUCUGACAUUUGUGUCAGUGUUUGGUACAUCUGACUUUCCCACAGACCUACCAUGACAUGUGUUUUUGCAAUGAAGCAUUUCAAACAUCAAUAAGGAGCUCAUAAAAGAGCCCACAAGACUCAGGCAUUUCUAGCCUUAAAACAUGUUGUUUAGUGGUGUGCCCCACACCCAAUCUCACCUCCUCAUUGCCCUGGAGGAAGCGAGCUCCCAGCCCUAUGCUCAUGGGGUAGUCCUAAGCACUCUUGUUUCCUAAACAUUUUCACAUUGUCCCCUUUUUGUGUUAGAAUUUUGGCUCAAAUACCAACAGGCUGUGUAAUCCUAGGCAAGUCGUUUAACAUAUUUGAAUGUUAGUUUCCUCAUUUGUAUUCAUCUCGUCAACAGAUAGUUAUUGAGUGCCUUUAAUACCAAGUACUAUUCUAGAUUUGGAAUUUACAGAUAGCCCUUUCUCUUUCUAAUUGUCAGAAAUCCAGACAGUUAGACAUUCGUAUGUCUUAGUAACCAACGUAUGACCUCAGCACUGUUUUUCAGUGGUUCCAAUGUAUUAUUGAGCAUACGAGGACUCAGGAGAAAAGAUGGGUCAACCUGCUUACACUACAAAGCUGUAGUAAUCAAAGCAGUGUGAUAUUGGCACAAAAAUAGGCACAUAGAUCAAUAGAACAGAAAAGAGAGCUCAGAAAUAAACCCAUACUUGUAUGGUCAAUC